This 224-nucleotide ribosomal RNA is filed under the name Tuber excavatum. RNAcentral describes it as "5.8S ribosomal RNA". The stretch from base 3 to 156 matches the Rfam family "5.8S ribosomal RNA". Rfam says of the family: 5.8S ribosomal RNA (5.8S rRNA) is a component of the large subunit of the eukaryotic ribosome. It is transcribed by RNA polymerase I as part of the 45S precursor that also contains 18S and 28S rRNA. Lineage: Eukaryota; Fungi; Ascomycota; Pezizomycetes; Pezizales; Tuberaceae. The record is from RNAcentral.
AAAACUUUCAACAACGGAUCUCUUGGCUCUCGCAUCGAUGAAGAACGCAGCGAAAUGCGAUAAGUAAUGUGAAUUGCAGAAUUCAGUGAAUCAUCGAAUCUUUGAACGCACAUUGCGCCCUUUGGCAUUCCUUAGGGCAUGCCUGUUCGAGUGUCACUAGAAACCUCCUCAUGGAUCCCGUGGUAUUGGUGGAAGCUCUCUGUAGCCCUGUGGGCUGCGUCACU